CUGACCUCGAAUCAGGUGGGACUACCCGCUGAACUUAAGCU
Molecule: ribosomal RNA, 41 nt
Filed under: Hydnum magnorufescens
Lineage: Eukaryota; Fungi; Basidiomycota; Agaricomycetes; Cantharellales; Hydnaceae
Description: partial 28S ribosomal RNA
Source: RNAcentral